RNA transcript from Tribolium castaneum (red flour beetle), 1539 nucleotides. RefSeq lists it as uncharacterized. The record is from RefSeq and is a predicted model, not a curated record. The transcript is spliced from 2 exons. Lineage: Eukaryota; Metazoa; Arthropoda; Insecta; Coleoptera; Tenebrionidae.
AAUUCGUUUUAUUGUCCUGACAAUCAUCAAAAGAAAGAAUGAUAAAAUAGCAGUGGCGUAGUUGAAACGUUCUAAAUAUUUUUAUCUCGACUUGGUGUUUGAUCGUCCUUGUUUAAUCUUAUCAAACAUGGAAGUAGAAAAUCUGAUGAAAUAUUCAACGAAAUUGAAUCAGCUGGUUUGAUAGUAAACAAGACUAUAAACCUUCAAGUGCAUCGACUCCUUAAAAUAAAAUGUUUAAAAUAAUGGUGAUAAGUACGAAAAUAUUUUGUUUUCUUGGGAAAUACUAUUCUAAUUUUUUUAAUUUGUUUACGCAAUCAAUUGCACAAGUCCUUUCAAACUCGAAAUAUUUUGAAGAAAAAAUUUUAAAUUGCAGGGUUGAGUCUGAUACUUGGUGAAUACUUUUUUAAUUUUAAAAUUCUGCAAGACUUUUGCAUUUUUGUGAUCUAGAUAUGCUUCAUAUCGUUAAAAUAUUUUUUUAAUGUAUAUUGGUAGUUAUAAGAGUCUGUUCAAGACACACCAAAAAAAAUGUAAAAACACCCUGAUUUUCAAGGGUAAACAAAAAAGCAAAAAAAACGUUAAAACACCCCGAUUUUCCAGGUAGUUAAAAAAAGUAAAAAAUAUCAAGCAAAACACCCCGAUUUUCAAGGUAAUCUAAAAAAAAGUAAAUAUUUCAAGCAAAAUGACCCCAAUUUUCAAGGACAAAUAGAAAAAUAGAAAAUAUUGCGAAAAUGACCGGAUUUUCAAGGGUAAAUAAAAAGCAGUGAUCCCCCUGAGGACACAGCACUUUUUAAGGUAAUAUUUUAAAAAUAACAUUUUUCAAAGAUUUUACUCUGUUGUAUUUGAAUUUACCGCCGCGAUUAAGUUGGUACUAGUUAUAUUGGCAAGCCUGAUUACCUUGGAGCUUUUGACUUCCUGCCAAUGCUCGUUCAGUUGCUUCAGUCCUGUGCAAGUCCUGUGGUUCAGUCUAUGCAUAGAUCCUCCAUUAUCUAUAAUUCUAUGCUGUGAUUCUAUCUUAUCAGUCAACGUAUAAUAAUCAUUACCUGUUCUGUGAUCAUUACCUCAGCAGAAGAUGGAUGAGGAGAACAAUGGUCAAAUUGCUAAUUAUCUCUUGGUGUGCCCAAGAGAUUGCGAAGAUCAUACCAGUGUCCUUCAACUGUUCCGCAGACUCAAGCCACCUAAUUGCCCUUUUAUAGCGACCAGGGUCUGGAGUCGGGACACCCGAAAACAAAAAUGCUGUAUGUGGGGUGUGUUAUAUCAAAGUAUUGAUGAAACACCAUAUUUACAAGGCACACAAGCUAAAGAACUAAGAAAACAGUUGAAUGCAUGGAGACCAAUAGGUGGAGAAAUUGUAGAUUAUGAAUUCUACCAAAAUCAAGCCACCAAUGAAAGUGGGUGGGUGUUCACAUGGAGGAGGUUGGCGUGUACCCAUCAACCCCAUUUUCCUAAGCAAGACAAUACUCGAACAGAGGAGCUCAAAAUGUACAUGUAGUGAUAGUAAAUAAUUAUGGUAUUUUUUAAUAAAAGUGUGGAAUCCCUUAA